GAUGAACGCUGGCGGCGUGCCUAAUACAUGCAAGUCGAGCGAACAGACGAGGAGCUUGCUCCUCUGACGUUAGCGGCGGACGGGUGAGUAACACGUGGAUAACCUACCUAUAAUACUGGGAUAACUUCGGGAAACCGGAGCUAAUACCGGAUAAUAUAUUGAACCGCAUGGUUCAAUAGUGAAAGACGGUUUUGCUGUCACUUAUAGAUGGAUCCGCGCCGCAUUAGCUAGUUGGUAAGGUAACGGCUUACCAAGGCAACGAUGCGUAGCCGACCUGAGAGGGUGAUCGGCCACACUGGAACUGAGACACGGGCCAGACUCCUACGGGAGGCAGCAGUAGGGAAUCUUCCGCAAUGGGCGAAAGCCUGACGGAGCAACGGCGCGUGAGUGAGGAAGGUCCUCGGAUCGUAAAACUCUGUUAUUAGGGAAGAACAAAUGUGUAAGUAACGAUGCACGUCGUGACGGUACCUAAGCAGAAAGACACGGCUAACUACGUG
RNAcentral lists this ribosomal RNA (497 nucleotides) under uncultured bacterium. RNAcentral's name for it is "partial 16S ribosomal RNA". It matches the Rfam family "Bacterial small subunit ribosomal RNA", at positions 28 to 507 of the family's 1533-position model. The record is from RNAcentral.